UUUGCAUCGUAAACUGAUAUUCAUUAAUUAAAGGGUAUGGCUCAAAAACAUAUUUGACAGAACAAAUAACCCCAAAGAAAAGAAAUGACAAAAAAGUAAAACAUGUCUAACAAAACAAGCAAAGAAUACAGAAAUGCAAAACCAGAAAACGAAACGCAGCCACAAAACCAAACCCCCUAAAGAAAACCCAACGAAGAAUAUCAGCCAAAAAUCUUUCCUUUCAACACUAGAAAUCCAUCGCAGCUCGAAGCAUGAAAGAAAAUAGUUUUGAAAGCCAACUAUGGAGAUUCAAAAGAACCUUCUCCAAUCUUCAAAGCCCGACAACAAAUCAUCAUCGCUGAUGGAGCCAAUCCAUCCGAUCCUAUUCCACCAGUUUUUCAACAGAAUCUGGUGCCUCCUCAACCCAGAAACAUGAAGUGUGUCGCUGACGCCCAUCCAUCACCAGAGCAUGCGCCACCCUGUUUACUUCUCUUCGGACAAAAUGGUAAGCAAUUUCCUCAAAAUAUCCCUCUAACAACCGAAUACUCUGUGAAAUUGGUCUGAGUAUAGAUCUGUCCUCUCUUUUUUAUUUAAGCCUCUUGAUAAUCGUUACGGAAUCCCCUUCCAGUAUGAUCUUCCUGGAACCCAUGUCAAAUGCAAAACAAAGAGCUCUUUUACAAGCCCGAGCUUCUACAACAAAAGCAUCUGCAACACCUAUAUAAGGGUAAGUACAUGCACUCAUUAUUUGGCCCUCUUCAUUUUGAGUUAAGACUGCUGCAAAGAGAAUUUGAGACCUUCAUGUACCAGCUUGUUUCGUUUUUACCACAGAGCCCAGAAAGAUAUAGUUAAAAUUUUCCCGGUAUUCUCAUCCCUGCAAUUAAAGUACUUACUAAUUGUGUUUUUCCAUCCGAGGUAUUCCUGCUUGGGUCGAAUGACAGGUUCAAGAGCAGCCAAAAUUGUCGCAAAACACCACAGGACCACAUUAAAUGGUCCAAAUCCUCUUGGGCCUCCUUGCACAAGGGACAGACAUUAUCAACACUUAGUCUCCGUUUGGCCAAAUUAUUAAAAUGAGGCACAUAAUCCUUGAGUAAACACCACAUAUGAAUUUUAAUUUUAGAAGGGAGCUAUAAAUCCUAAAGCAAUUUGUAAAAAGUCUUGUAAUUGUCAAUUGUAUUCAAAUUACAUUCAAAAUGCUGAAUCUUUCUUAUAAAUAAAGCCCGAUACCCACUCUUCACCGAAUACUCCCCUGACAUUGUGGCACCAAACCAACAUAUCCUUGUCUCUGGAGCUUGCAAUUAGAAUAUUUAAAAUGCAACUAGCUUGUUCGCGAUCAACAAUCCUGCAAAUCACCUCCUUGUUCUAGGUACUCGAAUCCACAUCAAUUAAUUGAUUCACUGUUGACUAGCGAGUAUCAAUAUUCUGAACUAACAAUCUACCAUUACCAGGACCAGGCAACCAAGGAUCAUUCUAGAUAUUCACACCCGCGCCACUGCCGAUUCGCCAAAGUAAACCAUCAUCAAUCAAUUCCCUAGCACUGCAGAUGUUUCUCUAGGUAAAAGAGGGGUAAGAACAAACUUUUGCUGACAUAAUACCUUUGAAAGGGUAAUAACGAGCUUUAAAGACUCUUGCUAAAAGACAAUCGGGCUGGGAUAGAAGUCGCCAAACUUGUUUAGCUAAUAGGGCUUUAUUGAACAAAAAUAGGUCCCGAAAUCUCAGUCUGCCAUCAGCUUUGGGAAAACAAAGUGCACUCCAAUUGCUCCAAUGAAUUCCUUUGGUUGUUUUAGAAUUAGACCACCAAAAUUUAUUCAAAAUACCUUCUAGCUGUUGGCAUAAGGUUUUCGACAAAACAAAACACUGCGUAACGUAAACAAGAAUUGCUUGAAGCAUCGCUUUUAUAAAAACUUCCUU
This 1887-nucleotide long non-coding RNA is filed under the name Gossypium barbadense (sea-island cotton). RNAcentral's name for it is "long non-coding RNA (GBAR_LNC016207)". The record is from RNAcentral. Lineage: Eukaryota; Viridiplantae; Streptophyta; Magnoliopsida; Malvales; Malvaceae.